AUGGCCCAGGGACUCGCAGCCCCACAGCGGCCGAGGCUCCACGGACGUCGCUCUUGGGAAACGCACAGGCCCCGACUCGGCAGGCGGGCCAAGGAAGGAACCACGCGCGGAGCUCCCACAGCACCAACCCGCCCUUUCGCCGCGCGCAACCCAUUCCUGUACCCACCGGAGGGACGGAGAAGGUGCCCCCGGGGCCCGGCCGCAGCGGGAGGCCAGUCGCCCGCUCAGGUCCCCCAGCGCCGCCGCCCAGCUCCGGGAGCGACUCUCGCCAGGCCCGCCGUGCCCAGCUUCAGCCCGGUCCCGGGACCGAUCCCUNGCCGCCCAGCUCCGGGAGCGACUCUCGCCUUCUCUCGCCAGGCCCGCCGUGCCCAGCUUCAGCCCGGUCCCGGGACCGAUCCCUGCGGCCGCGGCGGGCACGCCCGGGUAGCAGCAGCCCCGCCUUCGCCCCUCUCGCAGGCUGCGUCGGGCGGCUGGUGUAAGUUCACAAUGCUGGGGAUUCCUGGUCGUCUAACUAAGAAUCAAUGUCUUGCUGCUGCUGCUACCUGGACAAUCUUGAAAAGCUGAGCUGCUAACACCUGGCCCAAGAAAUGUAGGAAGGUUGCAGAAUGAGGGAUAUGACCUAAGAAUCUAUAGGACGGAUACCAAAUGGGCACACAAGCUUCAGUGCAAAAAAAUCAUGUAUAUUUUAAUUAAGCAUGUGAUUAAGUUAUACAGAGCUGCUUUGUGGACACCAAAGGAAUAGCAUCUCAGUUCAACGCUACCUGAAUCUCCCCACUAUCAGCUUUUCAAAAUUACAAUACAAGCACUCUAGCUUAGUUAGAUUUCCAGGAGGAUGAUAGGUAGGAGUUCCAAUAGAUGCAUGGGAAUAUUCCAUAAAAUAUUUGUUGAAUGAUUUUUAUUGUUUCCCUGCUGUGAUUACUAUUAUUAACUAUACUUUUAUUUUCUUUGGAUAACAAAAGAAAUAGUAAGGAUUGGAAGAAAUUGUAAUAUUAUACUGAAUAUAUUAAAUAUAGAUACUUGUAGAACUUCAAUGGAAAUAAGUUAUUAUUGAAGAAACAUUUUUGAGGAUACUGUAAGUAAUUAAGACCUCUAGCCUCUAUUGGUAUAUACACACAAUUUAUUUAUUGCAGAGAAAUGUUUAAGCUUAUGACUAAACCAUGUGAUUAGAUAAACGAGUACUUCCUUAAGCUUUGUCCUUCUCACUUGGUUUCUCUCAAACAAUAAUUAUAUUUCUGAUCAGGCCAUAGCUUUCAGCUGGUAGAAAGAACACUGUAGCCAUUCUUCUACUGUUUGCCUAUUCUACUGCAGUUAUCAACGUGUGUUUCUACAAAUUGUAAUUAUGGAUACAGAUUUCUAAGUGGCCAGUGGUGUUUAAAAAGUCUGGAAUCCAAGCAUGUUUAUGACAAAUUUAGGCAACGUCAGCUGCUUAUUGGGAGAUUUCCAUUGCUAGUGGAAAAAUGUUGUCAAGAAGUCAAAUGUGAAUUACCAAUAGCAUCACAUGUGAUUCGCUCUGCUUCAUUCACAAAUGGCUUAUAUGUAUCUAAAAUAUGUUGGGAUAUGACACUCUUUAUUUCUUAUACAGUAUUUUUAUGUUUAUAUGAGACAAUAAUGCCACCCCAAAUCCUCAGUCAUAAGGAAUCAGAAGGUAAAAUUUGAUUUAUAGUGUCACAAAUGGCUCUCAACUUACUGAUUUGAAAUUGUUGUAACUCUUCCUUUUCUGAAACAACUGAUUGCUUCCUUACUCCUAGGAUCCUAGACCAUCUUUGGAAUAUUUAUCUGUAUUAAACAUUCUUUACCAUAUGUUGCAUAAUCGCUUAAAACACAUAGCUUUAGAUUCUGUUUAAAUUUCUUCUGAAACUAGGCUGUCCAUGAUUAUAUCUGCCCACCCCAUCAGAUCUAGCAGAGAGAUCUGUGGGUCUCAUAUGUUGAGGGGAUCCCAGGAGAUUGGUCUUCUCUGCCGUGGUGCCAACCUUAUGGAAAAUUCUCCCACCCCCCUCCAAGUCAGAUUAGCUCUGUCCCAGUUAAUACCGUAUUUUUCAUAUAAUAAGGC
Molecule: long non-coding RNA, 2050 nt
Organism: Laticauda laticaudata (blue-ringed sea krait)
Lineage: Eukaryota; Metazoa; Chordata; Lepidosauria; Squamata; Elapidae
Source: Ensembl